CGUGCGGGGGUCUGUGGGUAGCAAUAUUCGCAGACUCUAGCGGCGAAAGGGUGCGUAACACGUGGGCAAUCUGCCGUGAAGUUUGGAAUAACCCCGAGAAAUCGGGAUUAAUACCGGAUGUGAAUGUUUGAGGACAUCCUCGUUCAUUUAAAGCUGGGGACCGUAAGGCCUAGCGCUUCAUGAUGAGCCCGCGGCCUAUCAGCUUGUUGGUGAGGUAACGGCUCACCAAGGCGACGACGGGUAGCUGGUCUGAGAGGACGAUCAGCCACACUGGAACUGAGACACGGUCCAGACACCUACGGGUGGCAGCAGUCGAGAAUCUUUCACAAUGGGCGCAAGCCUGAUGGAGCGACGCCGCGUGGGGGAUGAAUGGCUUCGGUCCGUAAACCCCUGUCAUUUGUGAGCAAAGUUGUCAGCCUAAUAUGUUGAUAACCUGAUAGUAGCGAAAGAGGAAGGGACGGCUAACUCUGUGCCAGCAGCCGCGGUAAUACAGAGGUCCCAAGCGUUGUUCGGAUUCACUGGGCGUAAAGAGUGCGUAGGUGGUGAGGUAAGUUUGGUGUGAAAGCUCCGGGCUCAACCUGGAAAUGUCAUCGAAUACUAUCUUACUAGAGGAUCGGAGGGGAGACUGGAAUUCUCGGUGUAGCAGUGAAAUGCGUAGAUAUCGAGAGGAACACCAGUGGCGAAGGCGAGUCUCUGGACGAUUCCUGACACUGAGGCACGAAAGCUAGGGGAGCAAACAGGAUUAGAUACCCUGGUAGUCCUAGCCGUAAACGGUGCACGUUUGCUGUGGGCGGAAUCGACCCCGUCCGUGGCGUAGCUAACGCGUUAAACGUGCCGCCUGGGGAGUACGGUCGCAAGAUUAAAACUCAAAGAAAUUGACGGGGGCCUGCACAAGCGGUGGAGUAUGUGGCUUAAUUCGAUCAACGCGAAGAACCUUACCUGGCCUUGACAUGCAAGUAGUAGAAGCCUGAAAGGGUAACGACCCCGCAAGGGGAGCUUGCACAGGUGCUGCAUGGCUGUCGUCAGCUCGUGUCGUGAGAUGUUGGGUUAAGUCCCGCAACGAGCGCAACCCUCGUGUCCUGUUGCCACUUCUGCGAGAGCAGAAAGCACUCUGGACAGACUGCCUCGCUUAAACGGGGAGGAAGGUGGGGAUGACGUCAAGUCAGUAUGGCCCUUACGGCCAGGGCUGCACACGUACUACAAUGCCUGGUACAAUGGGAAGCAAGACCGCAAGGUGGAGCAAAUCCUUAAAACCGGGCUCAGCUCGGAUUGUCGUCUGCAACUCGACGGCAUGAAGUUGGAAUCGCUAGUAAUGGCGCAUCAGCUACGGCGCCGUGAAUACGUUCCCAGGCCUUGUACACACCGCCCGUCACAUCAUGAAAGCCGGCUGUACCCGAAGUCGCUGUGCUAACUGCAAAGAGGCAGGUGCCGAAGGUAUGGCUGGUGAUUGGGAUGAAGUCGUAACAAGGUA
This 1471-nucleotide ribosomal RNA is filed under the name metagenome. RNAcentral's name for it is "bacterial SSU rRNA". It matches the Rfam family "Bacterial small subunit ribosomal RNA". The record is from RNAcentral.